CCUACGGGGGGCUGCAGUGGGGAAUAUUGGGCAAUGGGCGCAAGCCUGACCCAGCGACGCCGCGUGAGGGAAGACAGCCUUCGGGUUGUAAACCUCUGUUGCAGGGGAAGAAGGAAGUGACGGUACCCUGCGAGGAAGCUCCGGCUAACUACGUGCCAGCAGCCGCGGUAAUACGUAGGGAGCGAGCGUUGUCCGGAAUUACUGGGCGUAAAGGGCGCGUAGGCGGCGCUUCAAGUCGUCUGUCAAAUGGAAGGGCUUAACCCUUUUUCGCAGACGAAACUGGAGAGCUUGAGAAGCAGAGAGGCAAACAGAAUUCCUGGUGUAGCGGUGAAAUGCGUAGAUAUCAGGAAGAAUACCAGUGGCGAAGGCGGUUUGCUGGCUGCAUACUGACGCUGAAGCGCGAAAGCCAGGGGAGCAAACGGGCUUAGAUACCCUGGUAGUC
RNAcentral lists this ribosomal RNA (442 nucleotides) under uncultured Pyramidobacter sp. Its description in RNAcentral is "bacterial SSU rRNA". It matches the Rfam family "Bacterial small subunit ribosomal RNA", at positions 338 to 795 of the family's 1533-position model. The record is from RNAcentral. Lineage: Bacteria; Thermotogati; Synergistota; Synergistia; Synergistales; Dethiosulfovibrionaceae.